GCCUUCGUGGUGUAGCGGUCAGCACGCUCGACGUGUAUUCGAGAGGUCCGUGGUUCGAGUCCCGGCGAGGGCA
RNAcentral lists this transfer RNA (73 nucleotides) under Stegodyphus mimosarum. It matches the Rfam family "tRNA". From Rfam's summary of the family: Transfer RNA (tRNA) molecules are approximately 80 nucleotides in length. Their secondary structure includes four short double-helical elements and three loops (D, anti-codon, and T loops). Further hydrogen bonds mediate the characteristic L-shaped molecular structure. tRNAs have two regions of fundamental functional importance: the anti-codon, which is responsible for specific mRNA codon recognition, and the 3' end, to which the tRNAs corresponding amino acid is attached (by aminoacyl-tRNA synthetases). tRNAs cope with the degeneracy of the genetic code in two manners: having more than one tRNA (with a specific anti-codon) for a particular amino acid; and 'wobble' base-pairing, i.e. permitting non-standard base-pairing at the 3rd anti-codon position. Lineage: Eukaryota; Metazoa; Arthropoda; Arachnida; Araneae; Eresidae. The record is from Rfam by way of RNAcentral.